UACGUAGGGCGCAAGCGUUGUCCGGAAUUCUUGGGCGUAAAGAGCUCGUAGGCGGUCUGUCGCGUCGGCUGUGAAAGCCCGGGGCUCAACCCCGGGUCUGCAGUCGAUACGGGCAGGCUAGAGUGCGGUAGGGGAGACUGGAAUUCCUGGUGUAGCGGUGAAAUGCGCAGAUAUCAGGAGGAACACCGGUGGCGAAGGCGGGUCUCUGGGCCGUAACUGACGCUGAGGAGCGAAAGCGUGGGGAGCGAACAGG
This 253-nucleotide ribosomal RNA is filed under the name uncultured bacterium. RNAcentral describes it as "partial 16S ribosomal RNA". It matches the Rfam family "Bacterial small subunit ribosomal RNA", at positions 524 to 776 of the family's 1533-position model. The record is from RNAcentral.